GCAUCGCAGAGGGUGAGAAUCCCGUCUUUGACAUGGACUGCCAGGGCUCAACAGGUGUGCUCUCGAAGAGUCGAGUUGUUUGGGAAUGCAGCUCAAAAUGGGUGGUAAAUGCCAUCUAAAGCUAAAUAUUGGCGAGAGACCGAUAGCGAACAAGUACCGUGAGGGAAAGAUGAAAAGAACUUUGGAAAGAGAGUUAAACAGUACGUGAAAUUGCUGAAAGGGAAACGCUUGAAGUCAGUCGCGUCAGCUGGAAAUCAACCCUGCUUUUGCUGGGCGCACUUUCCUGUCUGACGGGUCAGCAUCAGUUCUGGUCGCUGGAUAAAGUCCUUGGGAACGUGGCAUCCUUUGGAUGUGUUAUAGCCCACUGGCGCAUGCAGCGGCUGGGAUUGAGGAACUCAGCACGGCCCUUGCGAGAGGGCGAUUGGAGGGAGACCUCACAACUUACGUGCUUAGGAUGCUGGCAUAAUGGCUUUAAUCGACCCGUCUUGAAACACGGACCAAGGAGUCUAACAUGCCUGCGAGUGUUUGGGUGGUGAAAACUCAUGCGCGCAAUGAAAGUGAUGGUUGAGAUCCCUGUCAUGGGGAGCAUCGACGCCCAGACCAGACCUUUUGCGACGGAUCUGCGGUAGAGCAUGCAUGUUGGGACCCGAAAGAUGGUGAACUAUGCCUGAAUAGGGUGAAGCCAGAGGAAACUCUGGUGGAGGCUCGUAGCGAUUCUGACGUGCAAAUCGAUCGUCAAAUUUGGGUAUAGGGGCGAAAGACUAAUCGAACCAUCUAGUAGCUGGCUCCUGCCGAAGU
RNAcentral lists this ribosomal RNA (798 nucleotides) under uncultured Inocybe. RNAcentral describes it as "eukaryotic LSU rRNA". It matches the Rfam family "Eukaryotic large subunit ribosomal RNA", at positions 200 to 967 of the family's 3401-position model. The record is from RNAcentral. Lineage: Eukaryota; Fungi; Basidiomycota; Agaricomycetes; Agaricales; Cortinariaceae.